RNAcentral lists this long non-coding RNA (1037 nucleotides) under Oncorhynchus mykiss (rainbow trout). RNAcentral describes it as "lncRNA (ENSOMYG00000057132.1)". Lineage: Eukaryota; Metazoa; Chordata; Actinopteri; Salmoniformes; Salmonidae. The record is from RNAcentral.
UCCCUCACCGCACCCUUCGGAACACUGCAUACGUAAUGAGUUCCUUGCCCCCUCCCUUCCACCAAGCUCACUCAAUCGAUCCCAGGUGUGUGGUACAGUAGCUGGUUAAAUAUCUUAGCCAACUGCACGCUACUGCAAGAGGUGGCAGGUACGCUAGCGGUUAAGAGCAUUGGGCCACUAACCGAAAGGUUGCUGGUUUGAAUCACCGAGCCGACUAUGCUCUCUUGAGCAAGGCACUUAAAAUUGCUCUUGAAAGUUGCUCUGGAUAAGAGCAUCUGCUAAAUUGCAAAAAUGUUUUCUCUGUAGGUGAUGGUUUCACUGUAAAGAGAGUGCAAAUUGGGGAGUCGGAGGAGCCAGAAUGGAGGACCUCAUAGGGUCGUUGGAGAGGAAGCUGCAGAGGCCUCUAUUGGCCAAGUCCCGGACACUACCCAGCAUCCCCCAGUCCCCUACCGUGGCCAGGGUCCACCACUCAGACCUGAUUGGUGGGAGUCCUCCUCGCAGGACGUCUUUGGCCAGCAACAACAAUCAGCCCAAGGCCUGCACUUUGCCCCCUGAAGGGGAGCUGUGGCGUCUGGAGGACGACGUGGAGGACGAGGAGGAGGCGGGGCGUCUGUGUGCCGCCGCCCGCCCCCGUUCACAAUCGCCCUUCUCCCACUUCCGCACGCGCACCGCAUACCUGCGCAAGAGCGUCUCUGUGGACGACCCCCUGGGCAUGGUAGACUACUGCUCGUCGGCGCCCCUCGAGGGUAAAGGCAGUCGCGGCGGCAAGGGCAAGCUCAAGAGGAAGUUUGUAAGUACCCAACUUCCUGUCUUUCCUUUCAAAAGAGCAUAGAGAGAUUAUCCCAGCCAACACACAGCCACCACAAAAUGUUGGCUCAAAGUUAUGGGUAUCAAUGUGAUAUCAGUCUUUUUUAGUUCAAAUGACAACCUAGAGAAUUCGGUCCCUUUUCAAAUGACUGUAUUUGUGAUUGUGUCAUCCUUCACUUAACUGUGCACAUGUAAGUGUUUGCCAACGCACACACACACACUGGUUGACC